GACGAACGCUGGCGGCGUGCCUAACACAUGCAAGUCGAACGGAAAGGCCAUGCUUUUGUGGGCUGCUCGAGUGGCGAUCGGGUGCGUAAGACGUAGGUAACCUGACCUAGCCUUUGGGGUAACUUCAGGUAACUAGGGGUAAUACCAGAUAGGAGCUCAUGCUGCUAGGUAGGGCUUGGAAAUUUGCGGCGGUUUGGGAUGGAAUCGCGGCUUAUCAGCUUGUUGGUGUGGUAGUGGGUAGCCAAGGCAUGGACGGGUAGCCGGCCUGAGAGUGUGACCGGCCACAGAGGGACUGAGGUAGGGCCCAGACGGCUACGGGAGGAAGCAGUGGGAAACUUUGCACAAUGCGCGGAAGCCGGAUGCAGCGACGCCGCGUGCGGGAUGACUGCUUUCGGGGUGGAAACCGCGUUCGCCUGUGACGAAGCGUGUGUGACGGUAACGGAUAAAGAAGCACCGGCUAACUACGUG
RNAcentral lists this ribosomal RNA (468 nucleotides) under uncultured bacterium. RNAcentral describes it as "partial 16S ribosomal RNA". It matches the Rfam family "Bacterial small subunit ribosomal RNA", at positions 28 to 507 of the family's 1533-position model. The record is from RNAcentral.